AACGAACGCUGGCGGCAUGCCUAACACAUGCAAGUCGAACGAGACCUUCGGGUCUAGUGGCGCACGGGUGCGUAACGCGUGGGAAUCUGCCCUUGGGUUCGGAAUAACUCGCCGAAAGGCGUGCUAAUACCGGAUGAUGUCGUAAGACCAAAGAUUUAUCGCCCAGGGAUGAGCCCGCGUAAGAUUAGGUAGUUGGUGAGGUAAAGGCUCACCAAGCCGACGAUCUUUAGCUGGUCUGAGAGGAUGAUCAGCAACAUUGGAACUGAGAAACGGUCCAA
Molecule: ribosomal RNA, 278 nt
Filed under: uncultured bacterium
Lineage: Bacteria
Description: partial 16S ribosomal RNA
Rfam family: Bacterial small subunit ribosomal RNA
Source: RNAcentral